This 396-nucleotide long non-coding RNA is filed under the name Mus musculus (house mouse). Its description in RNAcentral is "predicted gene 13393". Lineage: Eukaryota; Metazoa; Chordata; Mammalia; Rodentia; Muridae. The record is from RNAcentral.
GACGAGGUGGGCGCAACAAAUUGGUGGCCCGCACAGGGACCCGAGGAUCUCGUGGAUUCAGAACUCUUCAGCUGAGGAACGGUGGUACUGAGUGGCCUCUUAUCUGAGUACCUUAAAGGAAAUUGGUCGGCUAAAGAGGAGCAGUUGUCCAGAAAGCUGCUCCUCCAGAUUGCCAAACUCAACAGCACUCGACUGGACCCUGUCACCUUAGGGGACUUCACCUCCUGGAUCACCAAUGCCUUCUCAUUUUUUAAGGAAUGGGCGGGAAUGUUGGCCUGGGGGACAGUGGUCCUCCUGGGUUGUGUCUUUUGUAUCUGGCUAUUGUGACUCAAACGAGAGCAUGUAUAAGGCAGUGGUGUACCAAGCAUUGAUGGCGAUUAAAGAUGGCGCAUCCCC